Molecule: ribosomal RNA, 607 nt
Filed under: uncultured cyanobacterium
Lineage: Bacteria; Bacillati; Cyanobacteriota
Description: bacterial SSU rRNA
Rfam family: Bacterial small subunit ribosomal RNA
Source: RNAcentral
UACACAUGCAAGUCGGACGGAGUAGCAUACUUAGUGGCGGACGGGUGAGUAACGCGUAAGAAUCUAGCUUCAGGUUCGGGACAACAAUUGGAAACGAUUGCUAAUACCGGAUAUGCCUACGGGUAAAAGGCUUGCUGCCUGAAGAAGAGCUUGCGUCCGAUUAGCUAGUUGGUGGGGUAAAGGCUUACCAAGGCGGCGAUCGGUAGCUGGUCUGAGAGGAUGACCAGCCACACUGGGACUGAGACAAGGCCCAGACUCCUACGGGAGGCAGCAGUGGGGAAUUUUCCGCAAUGGGCGAAAGCCUGACGGAGCAAUACCGCGUGAGGGAAGAAGGCUCUUGGGUUGUAAACCUCUUUUCUCAGGGAAUAAAAAAAUGAAGGUACCUGAGGAAUAAGCAUCGGCUAACUCCGUGCCAGCAGCCGCGGUAAUACGGAGGAUGCAAGCGUUAUCCGGAAUGAUUGGGCGUAAAGCGUCCGCAGGUGGUACAACAAGUCUAGUGUCAAAGACCGGGGCUCAACCCCGGGAAGGCGGUGGAAACUGUUGAACUAGAGGGUCGUAGGGGUAGAGGGAAUUCCCAGUGUAGCGGUGAAAUGCGUAGAGAUUGGGA